UUAGAGUUUGAUCCUGGCUCAGGACGACUUUUGGCGGCGUGCCUAACACAUGCAAGUCGAACGGAACGCUUAUCAUUGAGACUUCGGUUGAUUUGAUAAGUUUUUUAGUGGCGGACGGGUGAGUAACGCGUGAGUAACCUGCCUUUAAGAGGGGGAUAACAUACCGAAAGGUAUGCUAAUACCGCAUGACAUAUUGGGAUCGCAUGUUUCCGAUAUCAAAGAUUUUAUCGCUUAAAGAUGGACUCGCGUCCGAUUAGAUAGUUGGUGAGGUAACGGCCCACCAAGUCAACGAUCGGUAGCCGGACUGAGAGGUUGAACGGCCACAUUGGGACUGAGACACGGCCCAGACUCCUACGGGAGGCAGCAGUGGGGGAUAUUGCGCAAUGGGGGCAACCCUGACGCAGCAACGCCGCGUGAAGGAAGAAGGUCUUCGGAUUGUAAACUUUUGUCUUAUGGGACGAAUAAAUGACGGUACCAUAGGAGGAAGCCACGGCUAACUACGUGCCAGCAGCCGCGGUAAUACGUAGGUGGCAAGCGUUGUCCGGAAUUACUGGGUGUAAAGGGUGCGUAGGCGGCUAAGCAAGUCAGAUGUGAAAUCUAUGGGCUCAACCCAUAGCCUGCAUUUGAAACUGUUUAGCUUGAGUGAGGUAGAGGCAGGCGGAAUUCCCGGUGUAGCGGUGAAAUGCGUAGAGAUCGGGAGGAACACCAGUGGCGAAGGCGGCCUGCUGGGCCUUAACUGACGCUGAGGCACGAAAGCGUGGGUAGCAAACAGGAUUAGAUACCCUGGUAGUCCACGCUGUAAACGAUGAUUACUAGGUGUGGGUGGACUUGACCCCCUCCCGUGCCGCAGUUAACACAAUAAGUAAAUCCCCUUGGGGAGUACGGCCGCAAGGUUGAAACUCAAAGGAAUUGACGGGGGCCCGCACAAGCAGUGGAGUAUGUGGUUUAAUUCGAAGCAACGCGAAGAACCUUACCAGGUCUUGACAUCGAGUGAGGAAUCUAGAGAUAGAUUUUUCCUUCGGGACACGAAGACAGGUGGUGCAUGGUUGUCGUCAGCUCGUGUCGUGAGAUGUUGGGUUAAGUCCCGCAACGAGCGCAACCCUUGCUAUUAGUUGCUACGCAAGAGCACUCUAAUAGGACUGCCGUUGACAAAACGGAGGAAGGUGGGGACGACGUCAAAUCAUCAUGCCCCUUAUGACCUGGGCUACACGCGUACUACAAUGGCCGUUAACAAAGGGAAGCAAUACCGCGAGGUGGAGCAAACCCCCAAAAACGGUCCCAGUUCGGAUUGUAGGCUGCAACCCGCCUAUAUGAAGUUGGAAUUGCUAGUAAUCGUGGAUCAGAAUGCCACGGUGAAUACGUUCCCGGGCCUUGCACACAAGGCCCGUCA
This 1390-nucleotide ribosomal RNA is filed under the name uncultured bacterium. Its description in RNAcentral is "16S ribosomal RNA". It matches the Rfam family "Bacterial small subunit ribosomal RNA". The record is from RNAcentral.